GUAACCGCAAGGAGCCAGCCGCCGAAGGUGGGGUAGAUGAUUGGGGUGAAGUCGUAACAAGGUAGCCGUAUCGGAAGGUGCGGCUGGAUCACCUCCUUUCUAAGGA
This 106-nucleotide ribosomal RNA is filed under the name Paenibacillus dendritiformis. Its description in RNAcentral is "partial 16S ribosomal RNA". It matches the Rfam family "Bacterial small subunit ribosomal RNA", at positions 1435 to 1533 of the family's 1533-position model. Lineage: Bacteria; Bacillati; Bacillota; Bacilli; Caryophanales; Paenibacillaceae. The record is from RNAcentral.